Long non-coding RNA from Macaca mulatta (Rhesus monkey), 2175 nucleotides. The record is from Ensembl. NCBI's taxonomy places the organism in Eukaryota, Metazoa, Chordata, Mammalia, Primates, Cercopithecidae.
GCCUCCUUCCCAAACACUGACCGCUCCUGUGCGAGACUUGAGAAUUCUGAGCGCUCAUGGACAUAUUAGCAUACUACAAAUAUCUAAAGGGGCUUUGAAUAUCACUGAGAAGAACGGUUCUUCUCAGGCCACUGAUUUGUGGAAGACAGCAGGCCAGCAGUCCCGUAGAAUGUUCCAGUCUGCAAAUGUCCACAAAAGACUUGCAAGCAGCAUGAAGUAGAAGAUAGAUGGACACAGAAACUAAUUAAUUUCACCACAGUGUGGAUAAAGCCGCAACCGAGGUGGAUGCAAAGCAGCUGGGAGAGAUUCAAUCAGCCUGGGAGGGCAGGAGCAACCCAGGAAGGCUUCCAGGGAAGGCCAUGAUUAAACCGAGUAUUAAAGGUUGAGAAUGAAUGUAUUCAGGUCGUCGCUGAAGAAAGAAGGAGAGCGAUUCAUAAUCGGCAAGCGUAUUUGGAGAAAUCAAUAGUCUGAGAUAAAAGAGACAGCACGCUGUUGCAGAAGAAUCGUGAUCGAUGCCGUCAAACAAAUGAGAGAACGAUCCCAAUUGCAGUUUAUCUGUGGUUCAUCUGGCUUCAUCUCACACCACCUCUGUUGACAUGGGAGGGCUACCGGCCCACAUCCGGAAAGUAUUAUGAAACCACCGGGGUUCCUCCCCUCCCUGCUCCAGGGAAGCCUGAGAGGGACCCUGCAGAUUGCAUUUGGAAUCCAUCUGCCAGGUGAACUAGACCCUUGGAGCCUCAGUUUCCUCCUCUCUGAAACAGGAACAGACACGCUUCCCUUACCUGACUCCUGGAGUCACUGUGGGAAUAAAGUCAGAGCACCAGCUACAUCGUCAUGUGACGCACCAAAACACGGAGGCCACUGUUCUUACUCAAUUCGUGGAAAUGUAACUUAUUUCCCACGCGAUGUGGAACAAAUAUUAAAAGAAAGAAGAUUCUUCUGUGUCGCCUGCUAUUGUUUUCUUGUGAUCUGGCAGCUCAGUAACUGAAUGAGAGCCCCAGGGUGAAGAAAAGCUACCAAGCUACCCAGUACCUUUCAAGCCCAGGCAGCUCAUGUGUGGCCAGAACAAUGUGCUGUUUGGGGAGGGAACACGAGGGCCUCCUUGCAGGACAAAAAUUCCCCUGUGAAUCAUACCCAGACGGAGUCUUCUUUAUUAGGGCUGUUAAAUAACAAAACCACCCUAUCCCUGAACAGCAGCAACAGCACAGUAACCGGGGAAGGUGACAGACUGACUGUGCUGUUUGGCUAGAGGGAAGGAAAGGGACAUUAACCCUCUAUGCUGCCUCCAGGAAGCCCCGUAGGAGCAUCCAACAGAGAGCCCCUGGCUGCUCCACAGAGGAAGGGCAGAGGCCUUGGCGGGCAGGGAAGUUAGGGAGUCAGCAACAAAGCCCGGCUGAGAAGUCACAUUUCUUACACUCCAAAUUUCAGCCCUGUGAAAAUGGAAUAUGUGGAAUUGCUGUUUGCAGUAACGAAACAGAGCAUUUUGAAAACACUUUUUAUAGAUUUCGGGGGUACAGGUGCAGUUGUGGUACAUGGAUAUAUUGCAUCGUGGUGAAGUUCGGGCUUUCACUGUAAGCAUCACUGGAAUAGUGUGUGUUGUACCAUUCGCUGAUUUCUCACCCCUCCACCCUCCUGUUCUGUGUCUCCAGCAUCUUUUAUUUCACUCUCGAGGUCCAGGUGUACACAUUCUUCAGCUCCCACUUAUAAGCAAGAACAAGAGGUGCUUGACUUUCUGUUCCUGUGUUGCUUCACUUAAGAUGGUGGCCUCCAGUUCCAUCCACGUUGCUGCAAAAGACAUGAUGAUUUUAUUCUUUUUUAUGCCUGCAUAGUAUUCCAUGGUCUAUGUACACCACAUUUGCUUCAUCUAAUCAGCUCUGAUGGAUACUUAGGUUGGUUCCAUGUUUUUGCCAUUGUGAAGAGUGCUGUGUUAAAUAUACAAGUAUGGGUGUCUUUUCCAUAUGAUUUAUUUCUUUUGGGUAGAUACUUUGUAGCAGAAUGGCUGGAUCGAAUGGUAGUUCUAGGUUUAGUUGUCUGAGAAACCUUCAUACUAUUUUCUAUAGAGGUUGGACUAAUUUUACGUUCCCACCAACAAUGCAAAAGUGUUCUCUUUUCUCUGUAUUCUUGUCAACAUCUGUUGUUUUUUGACAUUUUAAUAAGAGCUAUUCUGACUAGUGU